CUCUCUCUUUCUCUACCUUUCUCCCCAAAACCCAACUCUGAAUUUAAAUCCCAAACGCCAUCGGUCUUUAUCUCUCACCUUUCUCUGAAUCUAACCAGGGUUGUUGACAUCGCCACCGUUGAAGGCGAAAGUGGCCUCCACAAUCGCCUCCUAGCUCGUCCAUUAGUCCGACCCAGCUGACUGAACCGUCCUUCAGAAAACCAGAUCGUUGCUUUGUGUUUCAGGUAAUGAUGAUGAUGCCAAUUACUCAGUCCCAAUGCCAACUGAAUCCUAGCAGAGGUGUGGUUGCCUUUUUGGUUGUCACCGUUGGCAUCACAAGAUGGAUACAAGAAGAGAGAAGUUUUGAUGCUAAGGUUGACAGUCAUAAGUGGAGAGAUUCCUAAUCCAAUUAAGUUUCCAAUAUAUAUUCUCUUUGGAUCUGCUGAUUUUUCAUACUUUACAUUGUUUUUGGGCAGUACUGGUAACUGGCUUACAUCAGUGGUAUUUCAAAUGAAUGUGACAAUAAGAUGAUGAUUCUACAAAGUUUCAAAAAGUUGAUGUUGAAAGCAAUGUACAACUCACACCAACAUCUGUAAUCAAGGAAAAUAAAAGGAGUUAUUCAGUGGCUACUGUGAAGCAACAAAGGAAGAAAAUACAAUUAAUACUUUAAAGUUGGCUUUCAAUUUAUUUCAAAUAUUAAUUAAGUAGUUCUUUAAAUUUGUGUUUCAUAUAUUUAUUGGAUAAUUAAGGAUG
Quercus lobata is the source of this 732-nucleotide long non-coding RNA. RefSeq lists it as uncharacterized. The record is from RefSeq and is a predicted model, not a curated record. NCBI's taxonomy places the organism in Eukaryota, Viridiplantae, Streptophyta, Magnoliopsida, Fagales, Fagaceae. The transcript has 4 exons.